AACCUAGCACACCUGCGGUGUGUACCUGCGGAAGGAUCAUUAUAGAGUUCUAAACUCCAAACCUUUGUGAACAUAUACGUGUUGCUUCGGCGGGUUGGGGGGCCCAGCGCCCACCGUCGCCCGCCGGGGACCCAAACUCUUGCCUUCUAGCGGAAUCUUCUGAGUGAAGGCAAAUAAAAUCAAAACUUUCAACAACGGAUCU
RNAcentral lists this unclassified non-coding RNA (202 nucleotides) under soil metagenome. Its description in RNAcentral is "partial contains 5.8S ribosomal RNA, internal transcribed spacer 2, and large subunit ribosomal RNA". The record is from RNAcentral.